CAGCAGCCACGGGAAUACGAAGGGGGCUAGCGUUGUUCGGAUUUACUGGGCGUAAAGCGCACGUAGGCGGACUUUUAAGUCAGGGGUGAAAUCCCGGGGCUCAACCCCGGAACUGCCUUUGAUACUGGGAGUCUUGAGUUCGAGAGAGGUGAGUGGAAUUGCGAGUGUAGAGGUGAAAUUCGUAGAUAUUCGCAGGAACACCAGUGGCGAAGGCGGCUCACUGGCUCGAUACUGACGCUGAGGUGCGAAAGCGUGGGGAGCAAACAGGAUUAGAUACCCCCGUAGUCCCUGUCUCUUAUAA
This 301-nucleotide ribosomal RNA is filed under the name uncultured bacterium. RNAcentral's name for it is "partial 16S ribosomal RNA". It matches the Rfam family "Bacterial small subunit ribosomal RNA", at positions 509 to 809 of the family's 1533-position model. The record is from RNAcentral.